Molecule: long non-coding RNA, 2284 nt
Organism: Chinchilla lanigera (long-tailed chinchilla)
Lineage: Eukaryota; Metazoa; Chordata; Mammalia; Rodentia; Chinchillidae
Exons: 3
Source: RefSeq, a predicted model, not a curated record
CUCAGCUUCCUGAAUGCUGGCAUCAUAGGCAUGCACCACCAUGCCCAGCUUACAUAAAUAAUAUUUAAAUUGCAUAAUCACCUUGUAAGAUAGUUCCCCAUUUCAUGGAAGAGAAAAACAGGCUAGAAAGGACCAUAAUGUGCUCAACACAGAGCUUUUAAAUGGCAGGUUCAAAAUGUAAACAUCAGAUACUGAAGUCCAAACCAUUCAUCAAACUUUCAGUCACAUUUAAGUAAACAUUUCAACUUAGAAGGCAGUUUUAUUUAGGCUCUUGUUCUAUUUAAGGAGGCACCUGAAGUGCUUUCAGUAUAGACAGAAAUGAGUCAGACGCUCACACUGACUUGGUAAAGUUUAGUUAAGCAGGGUAAGGAGAGACGCUCAGGGAGCUGUGAAUGUUACCAGUUCCAAGCACACAGCCUUUGUGCCCACAGCCCCAUUUCUGAAUAAGCCUCAGUUUCCCUCAAGGCAGGGCUGGGACUCACUGUCUCUGUAGCCCAGUUCCCUGAAGCACUGAGCUCGGCACACAGCAGGCAGUCAAUAAAUGCACAGAAUUGAACAUAUGGGCAAUGCAGAAUAUGCACACUCAUAAUGAUGGAAGCAAAAUGCAUGGAAAAAACUUUGAUUUAUAUGUUUGACCAAUUAGGAGAUCAUAUACUCGUUAUGAAAUGAUCCAACUGGGCCAGGGAUAUAGCUCAGUGGCAUAAGCACCUGCCUGGCAAGUGCAAGGUCCUGAGUUCGAUUACCGGUCCCCCCCCCAAAAAAAAGAAAUGAUUCAAUCACUGAUUUUCAAUAGGAGGCUUUUAAAGUAUCAUUUGAAUAACACUCAGCUAGCAGAAGUUGAUUUACACACACCUUUCAGGAAUACAGAACAAUACAAGAGAAACCUGAAGAAAAAACAUUUAAAGAGCUGCAGAUACAGCAGCCAGCAGCCCCUGCAGGACUGGGGUGGGCAGCAGGGAUAGGGGAGGCGGCUGGGAGACCCUCUGCUGGGGGAGGCUGUCUAGUAGGUGCGAAAUGGGGUGGGGUGGGUGGCAGUUCUGGGCAGAGGGUCCAAGGGUGGCAGGUGAGUAUGAUGCAGACUGAAGCCCAGCAGGGCCGCCAGGUGGACGUCAUGCUGCUCAGGCAUCGGGGAGGGUGACAAAGAGGAGGCAGUGUCCGACUCAGACGCAGAACGGAAGAAUUCUGGGGGGUGUGUUGCGGGGAGACUGCUGUGGACUAGCUUGACAGGCACCUGCCCUGGGGGCAGUCGGCAUGAGAAACAGCAAUGCUGGGAUUACUUCCGGUAAGAAAUCUGUCCUUCAUUUGGGAGGCAACAGGGAAGAACUUAAGCAAGGAGAGGGAUCUCAAGAGAGCCGCAGCUCUAUACAAAGAACACUCCAGAAAUGAAGUGGUAGGCUGUGCAAAGAGGAAAGGCCCGGCACGCCGGGAGAGGAGGGAGGAGGCUGGUGGAGGACACCGCUUCCAGCCUUGGCUGGGAGGAGGCCGGUGGGCCAGGAUGUCAGGGGAGGGGUGCUGCCAGGCUGGCCUGAGCAGGAGGAGGGAGCUGCGGGAGCAGCGGGAGAGGGUGCGGCAGAAUUCCCAGUAAAGGGGGAAGAGGAAGAGCAGGGAAGGGAGAUGAAGUCAGAUGAUCAGGUCAGGUCCAGAGGCAGAAGGAGCAGCCGGAGCCCAGGCUGGGCGAGGGCCACGGCCCCGGGUCGGGUCACUAGUGCCCUUGACAGAGCCAUUUCCAUGGCGAUGGGGUGGAUGCAUGAAGGCUGGUGAGGCGAGGGCUGGGGUGGUGGGUGGAGGAGGCACGGAUGCAGGGCCAGGAGCCCAGUCGGAAGGAGAGAGGGCAGAGGCAGCUGCAGGAGGAGGAGCAGCGUGUUCCCAGCCCGGGAAGUGGAGUCGAUGGAGCAAGAUAGACCCGACAGGGUUUAUUUCUAGGCAACUUCGCCUCCCCUGCUUUCACCCCUGAAGGUCACUGUGCUCGGAGCCUCAUACUGGACCCUUCUGCAGCCAAGAGCCUCACAAGGAGAAGUACAAUGACCCUGUGCUGAACGCUCAUUAUGUGCCACACUCUGACAGCCCCUUAGAAGCACUGUCUGCUUACCUCUGCUUACUGGUGUGCUGGGUACCUGCCCAGUCACAUGGCCCCCGGUGAUGAAGGGGGGUUUCGGAAGCUGCCUCGUAAGCAGAUAUUGUUGCUCUGUAGGCAGUGAUGAGCUCUCAGGGAGCAUCUCCCCAAAUGAUAACAGUGCAAAGCCUGAGGGAACAGAAGGCAGCUGUAAGGACGGGGACCCGCACC